RNAcentral lists this ribosomal RNA (129 nucleotides) under Fukomys damarensis (Damara mole-rat). Lineage: Eukaryota; Metazoa; Chordata; Mammalia; Rodentia; Bathyergidae. The record is from RNAcentral.
GUCUAAGGCCAUACCACCCUGAAUGUGCCUGAUCUCAUCUGAUCUCAGAAGCUAAGCAGGGUUGGGCCUGGUUAGUACUUGGAUGGGAGACAUUUAUUUAUUUAUUUUUAUUUUUUGGUGUUUUUAUUU